CGAACGGGUGAGUAACGCGUGAGGAACCUGCCUCAAAGAGGGGGACAACAGUUGGAAACGACUGCUAAUACCGCAUAAGCCCACGGCUCGGCAUCGAGCAGAGGGAAAAGGAACAAUCCGCUUUGAGAUGGCCUCGCGUCCGAUUAGCUAGUUGGUGAGGUAACGACCCACCAAGGCGACGAUCGGUAGCCGGACUGAGAGGUUGAACGGCCACAUUGGGACUGAGACACGGCCCAG
RNAcentral lists this ribosomal RNA (237 nucleotides) under uncultured bacterium. RNAcentral describes it as "partial 16S ribosomal RNA". It matches the Rfam family "Bacterial small subunit ribosomal RNA", at positions 99 to 334 of the family's 1533-position model. The record is from RNAcentral.